CAUAACCUACGGGGGGCAGCAGUGAGGAAUAUUGGUCAAUGGUCGGGAGACUGAACCAGCCAAGCCGCGUGAGGGAUGAAGGUACAGAGUAUCGUAAACCUCUUUUGUCAGGGAGCAAAGGCGGGGACGCGUCCCCGGAUGAGUGUACCUGAAGAAAAAGCAUCGGCUAACUCCGUGCCAGCAGCCGCGGUAAUACGGAGGAUGCGAGCGUUAUCCGGAUUUAUUGGGUUUAAAGGGUGCGUAGGCGGAUUUUUAAGUCAGCGGUAAAAUGUCCGGGCUCAACCCGGGCCGGCCGUUGAAACUGG
Molecule: ribosomal RNA, 305 nt
Filed under: uncultured bacterium
Lineage: Bacteria
Description: bacterial SSU rRNA
Rfam family: Bacterial small subunit ribosomal RNA
Source: RNAcentral